GCUGCGAUGGCCGAGUGGUUAAGGCGUUGGACCUAAAAUCCAAUAAAGAUUCCCCACGGAGGUUCGAACCCUGCUCGCAGCG
Pristis pectinata (smalltooth sawfish) is the source of this 82-nucleotide non-coding RNA. The record is from the annotation of a RefSeq genome assembly. NCBI's taxonomy places the organism in Eukaryota, Metazoa, Chordata, Chondrichthyes, Rhinopristiformes, Pristidae.